RNAcentral lists this ribosomal RNA (350 nucleotides) under uncultured bacterium. RNAcentral's name for it is "bacterial SSU rRNA". It matches the Rfam family "Bacterial small subunit ribosomal RNA", at positions 355 to 720 of the family's 1533-position model. The record is from RNAcentral.
UGAGGAAUUUUCUGCAAUGGGCGCAAGCCUGACAGAGCAAUACCGCGUGAGGGAUGACUGCCUACGGGUUGUAAACCUCUUUUCUCAAGGAGGAAGAUCUGACGUUACUUGAGGAAUAAGCAUCGGCUAACCCUGUGCCAGCAGCCGCGGUAAUACAGGGGAUGCAAGUGUUAUCCGGAAUUAUUGGGCGUAAAGCGUCUGCAGGUUGAUAUGUAAGUCUUUUGUUAAAACUUUGAGCUUAACUCAAAUUCCGCAAAAGAAACUAUUUAUCUUGAGUAUGGUAGAGGUAAAGGGAAUUUCCAGUGGAGCGGUGAAAUGCGUAGAUAUUGGAAAGAACACCAACAGCGAAG